This 254-nucleotide ribosomal RNA is filed under the name uncultured bacterium. Its description in RNAcentral is "partial 16S ribosomal RNA". It matches the Rfam family "Bacterial small subunit ribosomal RNA", at positions 524 to 776 of the family's 1533-position model. The record is from RNAcentral.
UACGAAGGGGGCUAGCGUUGCUCGGAAUGACUGGGCGUAAAGGGUGCGUAGGCGGGUCUUUUAAGUCAGGGGUGAAAUCCUGGAGCUCAACUCCAGAACUGCCUUUGAUACUGAAGAUCUUGAGUCCGGGAGAGGUGAGUGGAACUGCGAGUGUAGAGGUGAAAUUCGUAGAUAUUCGCAAGAACACCAGUGGCGAAGGCGGCUCACUGGCCCGGUACUGACGCUGAGGCACGAAAGCGUGGGGAGCAAACAGG